GACGAACGCUGGCGGCGCGCCUAACACAUGCAAGUCGAACGAGCGAGAGAGAGCUUGCUUUCUCGAGCGAGUGGCGAACUGGUGAGUAACGCGUGAGGAACCUGCCUCAAAGAGGGGGACAACAGUUGGAAACGACUGCUAAUACCGCAUAAGCCCACGGUGCCGCAUGGCACAGAGGGAAAAGGAGCAAUCCGCUUUGAGAUGGCCUCGCGUCCGAUUAGCUAGUUGGUGAGGUAAUGGCCCACCAAGGCGACGAUCGGUAGCCGGACUGAGAGGUUGAACGGCCACAUUGGGACUGAGACACGGCCCAGACUCCUACGGGAGGCAGCAGUGGGGAAUAUUGCACAAUGGGGGAAACCCUGAUGCAGCGACGCCGCGUGGAGGAAGAAGGUCUUCGGAUUGUAAACUCCUGUUGUUGGGGAAGAUAAUGACGGUACCCAACAAGGAAGUGACGGCUAACUACGUA
RNAcentral lists this ribosomal RNA (466 nucleotides) under uncultured bacterium. RNAcentral describes it as "partial 16S ribosomal RNA". It matches the Rfam family "Bacterial small subunit ribosomal RNA", at positions 28 to 507 of the family's 1533-position model. The record is from RNAcentral.